Long non-coding RNA from Peromyscus leucopus (white-footed mouse), 1319 nucleotides. RefSeq lists it as uncharacterized. The record is from RefSeq and is a predicted model, not a curated record. The transcript is spliced from 3 exons. NCBI's taxonomy places the organism in Eukaryota, Metazoa, Chordata, Mammalia, Rodentia, Cricetidae.
AAGGACUUAAAAUUCUUAAUUGGCUUAACCAUUGUGAUUGUCAACAACUAUCUUACAUGGAUCAUUACACUGGCGGCCACAGCGAGAUCCCCUGCUCUUGCUCCUUGAGACUCAGCCUCGCUUCCCAUCUUCCUGGCCAGGGAGAGGCUGCAGGGGAGACGCCCCCCUGACAAAUGUUCCAGGCUCCGCCUCUCACUGAGUCGAGGUCUGAAGUGACUGCUGUGUUCCUAGCACCAAAACAGAGUCCUUCUGACACUCCUCUGAGGUACCGGAUUCUACAUCUGAGAGAUGGCCAUUGAUUAGGCUGCCUCUAACUACCUCUUUUGCACAGAAGUCACCCCAAGGCAAGGGUCAAAAGGAGUCCCCACCAUUCCUCUGAAGGGACUAACCGCUGGUCCAGACUGCAGUCCAUUCUAGGGUUCAAGAUGCCCUUCUGGUUGCCUCCUCGAUGCCCCGUCCCUCCUUCUGAUCCAGGGACCCAGGUACAUCAAGAAGUUUCAGAAAAGAGGAUCAACACCUGCCUGGAAAGGACUCCCACUGUUACGCUGACCACACCAGCUGCUGCAAUCAAGGUUGACCAGAUGUCUGCCUGGGUUCACCAUGCCCUUGCCAAGCCUGUUCCAAAGUAGGACCAGAAAUGAACCAUCUCACCUAGACCAGAUCCACCCAGGCUAAGACUCUCUCAGAAUAGGACUCCUUUUGGUUAUACCCUUUCUGCCUCUUGUAAUACUAGUCUCAUGGUUACUCGUAACUCAGAAACUUAUUUCUCUUCCACAGGAACUCGAUUGGUGUGUUCCGCCAUUCUCACGGGCUGUAUGACCUCAGGACAUCUGUGUAACAAUCCAGUUUUAUGUAUGGUUGUACAUGUAUCCCUCCCCAACCCCAGAGUGAAUGCUUAUUCAGGACCAGAGGGGACUCUCCUCUUAUUCCCCUUUGGGCUGUCCCACUGGUGGCACAAGAGAGCUGCCCCUCUCCUUGUUCGGGUGAUGGUAGAAAUGUGGGUAGCGGGCCCUGCUGCCUUGAGAACUGCGGUUCUAACUGGGAGAAAAGGGCCUAUAGCAGUUAUCAGUCAGAUGCAGACCUCAGACGCCUUCUUCCUCAGUGUGACUCAUGUCUAGGUAGAGUCUCCGGCUCAAGUCUCCCCAAACCAGCAGGCUUAGACUUGCUUUUCAUGUCCCAGAGAGGACUUUCUAUGACACUGGGAGAGGCCUGUCCUUCCUAUGCUAGCGAACCAGGAGUUCUCAAAGAGACUUUACAAAAAGUUAAAAAUAAUUUAGAGAAAAGACAAUAGGAGUGAAGCGGGGCGGUGGUGGCGCACG